GCCGGGGGACGUCUGUCCCCGGGUCCGCGCUCGCCGAAAGACACCUUAGAACUCUGUCUGAAGAUUGUAGUCUGAGAUUAAAUAUAAAUUAUUUAAAACUUUCAACAACGGAUCUCUUGGUUCCGGCAUCGAUGAAGAACGCAGCGAAAUGCGAUACGUAAUGUGAAUUGCAGAAUUCAGUGAAUCAUCGAGUCUUUGAACGCACAUUGCGCCCUCUGGUAUUCCGGAGGGCAUGCCUGUCCGAGCGUCAUUGCUGCCCUCAAGCACGGCUUGUGUGUUGGGCUCCGUCCUCCUUCCGGGGGACGGGCCCGAAAGGCAGCGGCGGCACCGCGUCCGGUCCUCAAGCGUAUGGGGCUUUGUCACCCGCUUUGUAGGACUGGCCGGCGC
This 387-nucleotide ribosomal RNA is filed under the name Penicillium brevicompactum. RNAcentral describes it as "eukaryotic LSU rRNA". The stretch from base 97 to 250 matches the Rfam family "5.8S ribosomal RNA". The record is from RNAcentral. Lineage: Eukaryota; Fungi; Ascomycota; Eurotiomycetes; Eurotiales; Aspergillaceae.